AGUCAUAAAAGGAUACAUGCAGUAUGAUUUUAUUUAAAAAAAAAAAAAAAAAUCUUAAAAAAGAGAAAUAAAUUUGAACAAAACUAAACUACAAGCCCGCAGUUCCCCGCCGAAAGCGAGGUGGGGGAGGAGGGGGCGGGAACGGUCGAGGCACUGAGAGUGGGGGAUGAGAAACGAACUCCGUCCCCUGCACAGUCAGUGCCUUCGGGGGCUCCACCACCGCGCGCUCCCACCCUCAAGGUUUGGACUCCUAGGGGAGGGAGAGGACGGGAGGGAGAGGAGGAUAGGUGGAGGGGGAAGAGGGACUCCUUUUCUCCUCCUGCCAGCGCCAGCUGGGGCAAACUUGAGCUGGCAAAGCGCGAGAAAACUUUUCUUUGGAAAGUUUAGGUAGCGCAGUUAGUGGCGGAGGCUCAGGGCAAGCUAACAGUGCUGGGGCGGGUGUGGAGGGAGUGAGCUGGGUGCGAUUGGGAGAGGGGAGAAGGGAGAAGGGAAGGAGUGGCCAGCUCCCUAGGCGGUUGAAGAUCCAAGUCUCUUCGGUCAGGUCCGCCCAAGGUCCCAGAGGCACUGGGGGGUCGGGUGACUGUGCGGAGUGUAAAAGACAUUUCCUUAGGAAACAGACAAGGCAGGGCCAGGAGUUCCGCGGUUUUUUUUCCGUGCAGAAAUCACUACCCGGCGACGGCUCAGGGCGGUAGAGGGCAAGUCUUAUCUGCCAAGGCGGGAUUAGAUUCUCUCGCCGAGGGUCCCAGUAUCCCGCCGCCCAGCAAGGGCCGAGCGCGCGCGCGCGCCAGGGAGC
RNAcentral lists this long non-coding RNA (793 nucleotides) under Homo sapiens (human). Its description in RNAcentral is "non-protein coding lnc-SNAPC3-11:6". Lineage: Eukaryota; Metazoa; Chordata; Mammalia; Primates; Hominidae. The record is from RNAcentral.